Molecule: long non-coding RNA, 252 nt
Filed under: Elaeis guineensis (African oil palm)
Lineage: Eukaryota; Viridiplantae; Streptophyta; Magnoliopsida; Arecales; Arecaceae
Description: long non-coding RNA (EGUI_LNC066900)
Source: RNAcentral
AUAGGACUACUCUCUAUCAAGAUCGAUAGAUUCCAUCUUGAUGCACACCCUACUACAGUGGAUCAACUGUCGUCAAAUCCACCACAAGGGCUCAUUGAGACCUAUGUUUAUGUGUCAAUCAAACUCCAACAGCCUCAUUAUGAGUAGUAGUACUAUCUCAGAUAAAAAAAUCAGUCACACAACUAUAGCAUCGAGAUAAUCACUGACGAUUGAAUAGAAAUCUAAGUGAUCUCUCAUAUGGUCAUGCUCAGU